AUGGCGGAGCUUGCGUCGGGCGCGGUGAGCUCGCUGCUGGGCGUCAUCCGCAACGAGGCCCUGCUGCUGGGCCGCGUCCGGCAUGACGUGCAGUUCAUCCAGGAGGAGAUGGAGAGCAUGCAGAGCUUCUUAGCGCACCUGUCAAAGAAGGCGCCCGGCGGUGGCGAGCAGGACGAGCAGAUGCGCACGUGGAUGAACCAGGUCCGGGUGCUCGCCCAGGACAGCAGCAACUGCAUCGACAUGUACCUGUACCGCGGCAACCCCGAGCUCCAUCUCGCCAGCGGCGGCCUCCGGCGCUACGUCUUCUGGCUUCCCUGGUUUGUGCACAAGAUGGUGGCCCAGCGUCGUGCGGCCAUCCAACUGGGUGUCCUCAGGGAAAGGGCGCAUGACAUUGGCGAGCGGCGAACCAGGUAUGGCGUUGAGGUCCCGGUGAAGGAGGCGGCAACGGCACUGUCGCCUACAGUGGAGGAGCAAGCAUCCGCAUCAUCCGCUAGUUCCAGAGAUGAAAAAGAAAAGAGCAACGAUCAACUCAUGCUAGCAAUGGCAACGACUAACCACUCUGGUGAAGCUUCGGCAAUGUCGGAAAAACAUUGUCCCAGCAGGCCCAGUGUCAUGGUCGACAUCCCAGCAGUGCACUUGUUUGCUCGAGCCCUUCGAACUCGGGACAUUCUGUACUACAUCCUGCGGAAGCUUCAAUCUGCCGAACCACAGCCCCAGCAACAGCAAGGUCAUGUCAGCAAAGACGAGACUGAAAAAAUAAAAAGUGAUAUUCGCUUAGAAAAAUGGAGGCUGCUCAAUCAAUUGACAGAACAAAUCCAAGUAAUGAACCUGGACAACAAGUUUGAAGAAAUCAAGAACAUCAUGGAAAAAAUGAAGGGCGGACAGCUGCAGAUAAACCUGAAACAAAUGGAUGAAGACCCGCUGGGUCUGCCAGAAUCCGUUAAAGAUAAACCCUUAGGCGUACUCCUCCAAGCGCUGUGGCAGCUCAAGCACAAGCCAGUUGAAGGUGCGCCUGCUACCAAACAAGACCUAGAAAGGAAGGAAGACACAAUCAGAGACCUAGAAAGGAAGGAAGACACAAUCACGCACGAGGCUAUCAUCAAGGGAACAGCCAAGAAGCUUAAAGGGCAUAUGGAAGAAGAUGAAGGAAAGGCAAUUCGUCUCAAUGAAGCCCAUUAUGAACAGAUCCUAAGGGAGGUGUUCCCCCAGGUGACCACCAAGAAGCGCCCACAGAUCCAGGAGCAAGCCACCGCCGUCAGCACCACUAGCACCAUUAUAUUGGUCGAGGAUCAAAUCAAAGAAAUGAUCCGCAAGGUCCUUCAGGAGAAAUCCGUGCACAAACCAGAUUGUAUUCCGGAUGCUCUAAUUGAAGAAACCAUAGCAAAGAUUCGGGAAAUAGAGUGCACGACGAAAGACCAGCUCCAGAUCAAAGGAAUCAUGGACAAAAUUGAAGAUCGUUUGAUGAGCCAAGAUGGCCAGAUCCUUGUUAUCCUCAAACUUGAUGAUGACUGGGUAUCUAGAUGGGAGGAGAAUAACAUAGCACGAGCCAAAGAAUAUUGUUGGCCAGUGCGGGAGCCUAUAGACUAUUGUCUUCUUGGCCUCUACCGUGAUACUGCACUUGAGCUUACAAAAAACCACAUGCUUGAAGAUAACCCGAAGAUUUAUAUUGACAUCUUGGACAAGUGUAAGCAACAAGAAUUCUGCAUGAAGAUCUUCAUUCAUGCUUUGCAUGCCAACCCCAAGAGGAACCAUGAAGAGCUAAGCCAGUUGCACAAAGCCCUGCAGCCGGUACCUCAAGCUUCACACACAUCUGGGCACAACUCAUUUGACAGCAAUAUCAUUGCUAAGAAGAUGUUCAUGUUCUCUUACAGUGACCUGCCUAAGGAAUACAGGUCCUGCUUGCUAUACCUAGCAAUCUUCCCUCGACGACAACACUUCAGGCGGUCAACCUUGAUAGGACGGUGGGUUGUAGAGGGGUUGAUAACCAAGCAAGACUGGGCGAGUUCUGUUCGACAUGCCAAUCGAUGUUUUGAUGCGCUAAUUAACCGGUGGCUUGUUUAUCCUGCUGAUAUUGGUUCAACAGGACAGGUGAAGAGCUGUGUAAUAGCUGAUGUAGUUCAUGGAUUCAUAACCAAGAUCGCCAGAAAACAGCGCAUUAUAGAAACACGGCUAUCACAUUACUUGGCUCGCCACUUCUCCAUUUUCAACAAUCUUCGAAUCCGUCGCUCUGAUAAAAUCAACAGAUUCUUCGAAAAGCUCUAUGAAGAAUCAUUUCGAGUAUCCAUUAUCAAGGUGCUAGAUCUAGAAGACUGUAAAUGCUUUGGUGGUAAGAACCAGCGGUACCUCAAGGACAUCUGCAGAACAAUGGUACUGCUCAAGUAUCUGAGUCUAAGGGGAACAGAUGUUAAACAGCUGCCUAGUGAAAUCAACAACCUCCGUGAGCUGGAAGUAUUGAAUAUUCGGGACAUCCAUGUGCCUGAGUCUGCAACAGUAAAUGUCCUACUCCUGAAGCUGAAGCGUUUGCUGGCUGGACACACUGUGCCGAGGGCAGGCAGUACUGAAAUAUCUUAUGUUCCUGACAAGAUCGGAAAAAUGUUAAACAUGGAGGUAUUGUCCAAUGUCAAGGCACAAAAUCGUCAAGUUUUGAAAGAUAUUGGAAAGCUGUGGCAACUGAGGAAGCUUGGUGUGGUUAUUGGAGACAAUGACAAACUCAUUAGGAAUUUGCUUCGAGCUAUUAGUGACUUGCAUGAGUGCCUCAAGUCUCUGUCAAUCACUCUUCCCAUGACUGAGCAAGAUCCUUCCAACGAAGAUUUUCCAUGUACUGUUCUCCAAUAUUAUAAACAACCUCCCAAGCUUCUUCUUGAGAGCCUAAGCAUUACUGGAACCACAAAAAAGGGGCAACUUCUUCAAGUGCUGACCAAACAUAACGACUUCUUGCAACUUGCGAAGAUAACUCUAACUGGAACCCGACUGAAGCAGGAUGAUCUGAAGGUCCUCAACAAACUUCCCAAUAUAGUUUGUCUCAGGCUCCGAGACAAAGCAUACAUCGACAGCAAGCUCACCUUCGAGAAUGACAAAUUCAAAAAUCUCAAGUGCUUUCUUGUUGAGGGCUCCAACAUAACUGACAUCUUGUUUGAAGGUGGGGCCCUUAAGCUGGAGAAGAUCACUUUAUGCUCAACCGAUGGCAUACAAUCUCUUUCUGGGGUCGAAGCCCUUCCAGAACUGAAGGAAGUCGAGUUGAACAACAACAACAACAAGCUUUCAUUAUUUGACAAGGUUGAGAAAGUUUCCAAGGUGACUCUUUGUAGUACCAAACUGAGCGAAGAUGACCUGAAAAUGUUCGCCAAGAUACGAUAUAUGCGCUGCCUAGUCCUGAAGGAGAAAGCUUGUGUUGAAAGCCAGAUUAAGUUCAACAAAGAUGAGUUCCCAAGUCUCAACCUUCUUAUUGUCGAUAGUUCUGCCAUCACCAAGAUAGAGUUCGCCAGCGGAUCUGCUCCUAAGCUUGAGAAAAUCAUCUGGUCGUUCACAAGGGGCACGGUGGGGAGUCUGUCCGGCAUUGGCAACCUUCCAAAAUUGAAGGAGCUCGAAAAACCAAUACCAAGAAAUGGGAAACAUAGAAGAAAUGGGCAAGGCCGCAAGAUUCCCAUCCUGCUGGAAGAGCCAGGAUUGAUGCCGGAGGUGCCGUUCCUAUCAUAUCCAUUCAUCAUCGACUCCCAUCCCAUGGUGUGGAUUUUCAUACAAGUGCGUGCUAAUGGUUGCUACGUUGACGAGUUAAUUACUCAGGCGCUAAGAAGGAGGCCGUGCAAGUCUGGCCAUCAUCCUAGCAAGCUAGUAGGGCAUUCCAAGAUCUAUCCAAAGCACUACUACUGUCGAGAGACGCUCGAGCCCAUGAGACAUUCAAAGUGGCAAAGUACUACUGCUACAUGGAGCCCAAUAAUUCGAUCCAUACACGAGAACGCGAGAGGUUAG
Molecule: ribosomal RNA, 3969 nt
Filed under: Triticum aestivum (bread wheat)
Lineage: Eukaryota; Viridiplantae; Streptophyta; Magnoliopsida; Poales; Poaceae
Description: partial small subunit ribosomal RNA
Source: RNAcentral